GGGUGGGGUGACUGCGUACCUUUUGUAUAAUGGGUCAGCGACUUAUAUUCUGUAGCAAGGUUAACCGAAUAGGGGAGCCGGAGGGAAACCGAGUCUUAAUUGGGCGUUAAGUUGCAGGGUAUAGACCCGAAACCCGGUGAUCUAGCCAUGGGCAGGUUGAAGGUUGGGUAACACUAACUGGAGGACCGAACCGACUAAUGUUGAAAAAUUAGCGGAUGACCUGUGGCUGGGGGUGAAAGGCCAAUCAAACCGGGAGAUAGCUGGUUCUCCCCGAAAGCUAUUUAGGUAGCGCCUCGUGAAUUCAUCUCCGGGGGUAGAGCACUGUUUCGGCUAGGGGGCCAUCCCGGCUUACCAACCCGAUGCAAACUGCGAAUACCGGAGAAUGUUAUCACGGGAGACACACGGCGGGUGCUAACGUCCGUCGUGAAGAGGGAAACAACCCAGACCGCCAGCUAAGGUCCCAAAGUCAUGGUUAAGUGGGAAACGAUGUGGGAAGGCCCAGACAGCCAGGAUGUUGGCUUAGAAGCAGCCAUCAUUUAAAGAAAGCGUAAUAGCUCACUGGUCGAGUCGGCCUGCGCGGAAGAUGUAACGGGGCUAAACCAUGCACCGAAGCUGCGGCAGCGAACGUAUCACCCAAGACAACUUUACGGAGUUGACGAUUGACGGAGCGAAGCGACGUCAAAGCGUUCAUUAAAGUCGAGUUGGCUUAGGGAUACGUUCGUUGGGUAGGGGAGCGUUCUGUAAGCCUGUGAAGGUGUGUCGUGAGGCAUGCUGGAGGUAUCAGAAGUGCGAAUGCUGACAUAAGUAACGAUAAAGCGGGUGAAAAGCCCGCUCGCCGGAAGACCAAGGGUUCCUGUCCAACGUUAAUCGGGGCAGGGUGAGUCGACCCCUAAGGCGAGGCCGAAAGGCGUAGUCGAUGGGAAACGGGUUAAUAUUCCCGUACUUGGUGUUACUGCGAAGGGGGGACGGAGAAGGCUAUGUUGGCCGGGCGACGGUUGUCCCGGUUUAAGCGUGUAGGUGUGUGUUCCAGGUAAAUCCGGUUCACUUUAACACUGAGGCGUGACGACGAGGCACUACGGUGCUGAAGCAACAAAUGCCCUGCUUCCAGGAAAAGCCUCUAAGCAUCAGGUAACACGAAAUCGUACCCCAAACCGACACAGGUGGUCAGGUAGAGAAUACCAAGGCGCUUGAGAGAACUCGGGUGAAGGAACUAGGCAAAAUGGUGCCGUAACUUCGGGAGAAGG
This 1244-nucleotide ribosomal RNA is filed under the name Salmonella enterica. RNAcentral describes it as "partial 23S ribosomal RNA". It matches the Rfam family "Bacterial large subunit ribosomal RNA", at positions 586 to 1746 of the family's 2925-position model. Lineage: Bacteria; Pseudomonadati; Pseudomonadota; Gammaproteobacteria; Enterobacterales; Enterobacteriaceae. The record is from RNAcentral.